GUGUGUGAACCCAUUCCUGUUUACAUCCCACCCAGAUCUCCACCUCAGAGCAGAGGAAUUUUCCACAGCUUCAAAACCGUAAGGGGCCAGUGGCAGGCUGAACAAACGCUACCAACUGAAGGAAAUGGCGCAUCCACUCCACAUCACGGGUUUUAGAGGAAUACGGGGCAAGUUCUUUGAAGCCGAGAGAGGGUGGUUCGGCAGGAAAGCAGGGGUCUUCAAACAGGUAGCCCCCUUCCAAACACUCCUGUUUGAGGGCCUCAAAAUCCUGGUUCUGGAAG
Molecule: long non-coding RNA, 281 nt
Organism: Megalobrama amblycephala (Wuchang bream)
Lineage: Eukaryota; Metazoa; Chordata; Actinopteri; Cypriniformes; Xenocyprididae
Exons: 2
Source: RefSeq, a predicted model, not a curated record